Molecule: small nuclear RNA, 125 nt
Organism: Neogale vison (American mink)
Lineage: Eukaryota; Metazoa; Chordata; Mammalia; Carnivora; Mustelidae
Gene: U4
Rfam family: U4 spliceosomal RNA
About the family: U4 small nuclear RNA (U4 snRNA) is a component of the major U2-dependent spliceosome. The structure of U4 snRNA from yeast and human has been reported.
Source: Ensembl
AGCUUUGCAAAGUGGCAGUAUCAUAGCCAAUGAGGUUUAUCCGAGGUGUGAUUAUUGCUAACUGAAAAUGGCCCCACGAUGUCAAACAAAGGAUACAGUAACAAUUUCUCAAGUCUUAGAGUAAG